AAAUGGGCCGGUCUGUGCUCCGAGGGGGCAGGCGUGACGGUUUGGUCGACAGAAGUUCAGCAAGUGCUGGCAUCGUGACCUCCCUUCCGGGUUCGAGCUCGCGCAGAAUAUACUCAUGCAAGUUUGAAGUUGUCGCAACACAAAGNUGCGAAAUACUGUUUUUGCAACGCAAUGCAUGCCGGCAGACGAUUGCUCUUGCACGCGCGG
RNAcentral lists this unclassified non-coding RNA (207 nucleotides) under Hevea brasiliensis (rubber tree). The record is from RNAcentral. Lineage: Eukaryota; Viridiplantae; Streptophyta; Magnoliopsida; Malpighiales; Euphorbiaceae.